Molecule: ribosomal RNA, 884 nt
Filed under: uncultured Pelagibacterales bacterium
Lineage: Bacteria; Pseudomonadati; Pseudomonadota; Alphaproteobacteria; Candidatus Pelagibacterales
Description: bacterial SSU rRNA
Rfam family: Bacterial small subunit ribosomal RNA
Source: RNAcentral
CUGAUGCAGCGAUGCCGCGUGAGUGAAGAAGGCCUUUGGGUUGUAAAGCUCUUUCGUCGGGGAAGAAAAUGACUGUACCCGAAUAAGAAGGUCCGGCUAACUUCGUGCCAGCAGCCGCGGUAAUACGAAGGGACCUAGCGUAGUUCGGAAUUACUGGGCUUAAAGAGUUCGUAGGUGGUUGAAAAAGUUGGUGGUGAAAUCCCAGAGCUUAACUCUGGAACUGCCAUCAAAACUUUUCAGCUAGAGUUUGAUAGAGGAAAGCAGAAUUUCUAGUGUAGAGGUGAAAUUCGUAGAUAUUAGAAAGAAUACCAAUUGCGAAGGCAGCUUUCUGGAUCAUUACUGACACUGAGGAACGAAAGCAUGGGUAGCGAAGAGGAUUAGAUACCCUCGUAGUCCAUGCCGUAAACGAUGUGUGUUAGACGUUGGAAAUUUAUUUUCAGUGUCGCAGCGAAAGCGAUAAACACACCGCCUGGGGAGUACGACCGCAAGGUUAAAACUCAAAUGAAUUGACGGGGACCCGCACAAGUAGUGGAGCAUGUGGUUUAAUUCGAAGAUACGCGCAGAACCUUACCAACACUUGACAUGUUCGUCGCGACUCUAAGAGAUUAGAGUUUUCGGUUCGGCCGGACGAAACACAGGUGCUGCAUGGCUGUCGUCAGCUCGUGUCGUGAGAUGUUGGGUUAAGUCCCGCAACGAGCGCAACCCUCACUUUUAGUUGCCAUCAUUAAGUUGGGCACUCUGAAAGAACUGCCAGUGAUAAGCUGGAGGAAGGUGGGGAUGACGUCAAGUCCUCAUGGCCCUUACGUGUUGGGCUACACACGUGCUACAAUGGUAUCUACAACAGGAAGCAAAACAGCGAUGUUAAGCAAAUCCUUAAAAGAUAC